RNAcentral lists this ribosomal RNA (119 nucleotides) under Helianthus annuus (common sunflower). The record is from RNAcentral. Lineage: Eukaryota; Viridiplantae; Streptophyta; Magnoliopsida; Asterales; Asteraceae.
GGUUGCGAUCAUACCAGCACUAAUGCACCGGAUCCCAUCAGAACUCCGCAGUUAAGCGUGCUUGGGCGAGAGUAGUACUAGGAUGGGUGACCCCCUGGGAAGUCCUCGUGUUGCGACCC